AAAUGCGAUAAGUAGUGUGAAUUGUAGAAUUCAGUGAAUCAUCGAAUCUUUGAACGCACAUUGCGCCCUUUGGUAUUCCAAAGGGCAUGCCUGUUCGAGCGUCAUUUGUACCCUCAAGCUUUGCUUGGUGUUGGGCGUCUUGUCUCUAGCUUUGCUGGAGACUCGCCUUAAAGUAAUUGGCAGCCGGCCUACUGGUUUCGGAGCGCAGCACAAGUCGCACUCUCUAUCAGCAAAGGUCUAGCAUCCAUUAAGCCUUUUUUCAACUUUUGACCUCGGAUCAGGUAGGGAUACCCGCUGAACUUAAGC
This 306-nucleotide unclassified non-coding RNA is filed under the name plant metagenome. Its description in RNAcentral is "partial contains 5.8S ribosomal RNA, internal transcribed spacer 2, and large subunit ribosomal RNA". The stretch from base 1 to 104 matches the Rfam family "5.8S ribosomal RNA", at positions 51 to 154 of the family's 154-position model. The record is from RNAcentral.